RNAcentral lists this ribosomal RNA (245 nucleotides) under uncultured bacterium. Its description in RNAcentral is "partial 16S ribosomal RNA". It matches the Rfam family "Bacterial small subunit ribosomal RNA", at positions 524 to 768 of the family's 1533-position model. The record is from RNAcentral.
UACGGAGGGUGCAAGCGUUGUCCGGAAUCAUUGGGCGUAAAGAGUUCGUAGGUGGCAUGUAAAGUCUGGUGUUAAAUCCCGAAGCUCAACUUCGGUUCUGCACCGGAUACUUGCAAGCUAGAAUGCGGUAGAGGUAAAGGGAAUUCCUGGUGUAGCGGUGAAAUGCGUAGAUAUCAGGAGGAACAUCGGUGGCGAAAGCGCUUUACUGGGCCGUUAUUGACGCUGAGGAACGAAAGCCGGGGUAG